RNAcentral lists this ribosomal RNA (500 nucleotides) under uncultured bacterium. RNAcentral's name for it is "partial 16S ribosomal RNA". It matches the Rfam family "Bacterial small subunit ribosomal RNA", at positions 30 to 523 of the family's 1533-position model. The record is from RNAcentral.
AUUGAACGCUGGCGGAGUGCUUUACACAUGCAAGUCGAACGGCAGCACGGACUUCGGUCUGGUGGCGAGUGGCGAACGGGUGAGUAAUGUAUCGGAACGUGCCCAGUCGUGGGGGAUAACGUAGUGAAAAUUACGCUAAUACCGCAUACGAUCUAUGGAUGAAAGCGGGGGAUCGCAAGACCUCGCGCGAUUGGAGCGGCCGAUAUCAGAUUAGGUAGUUGGUGGGGUAAAGGCCCACCAAGCCAACGAUCUGUAGCUGGUCUGAGAGGACGCCCGGCCCAAUUGGACGUGAGACACGCGACAGCCUCCUACGGGGUGAAGCAGGGGGGAAUUUGGGAAAAGGGGCGAAGGCCUGAUCCGGACAUUCCGCGUGAAGGAUAAAGCCCCUCGGGUUGUAAACGGUUUUUUAAAAGAACGAAAAGGUUUCUACUAAUACUGGGGGCUCAUGACGGUACUGAAAAAAUAAGCACCGGCUAACUCCGUCCCAGCCCCCGCUGUAA